CCCCGCCUCUUUGCUGCACGACACCCCUUCCAGCUGCCACUCACUCCCCGGGGCCCAGGGAGCCUCCUGAGUGAGUGACAGUCCCCCCCUCCCCCCACAGCAAUAUGCCAGCCGCCGUGCCAAAACGGAGGGAGCUGUGUCCGGCCGGGACGCUGCCACUGCCCCGCUGGGUGGCAGGGAGGCAGCUGUCAGACAGACGUGGAUGAGUGCAGUGCCGGAGGGGGCGGCUGCGCCCAGCGGUGUGUCAACACGGCGGGGAGCUACUGGUGCCAGUGUUGGGAGGGGCACAGCCCCUCUGCGGACAGGGUGGCCCCGAACCCCACCAGAGGAGUGGACAGGGAGGUGCAGGAGGAGGUCCAGAGGCUGCGAUCGCGGGUGGACGUGCUGGAGCAGGUGAGGCUGGCGGGACUGGGGCUGGGGCAGCCCCCGUGGUCUGUCGGCUGUGUUCAGUGGGGAGGCACCCCGAUACUGACAGCCCAGGGGGGCCCUGGACCUGGGUUCCUUGCCGGACGGGGCAACGGGAGAGGACGGGGACCCCACAGGAGGGGCCGAGAGCUCAGCCCCAUCCCUUCAGGCCACAGAGAACCUGAACCCAGGUGCUGCUCACCCGCCUUUGCCCCCGGGGACAGUGUCCUGUGGGCCUUCCCACCGGGGCCAUCGGCCUGACACCCCAGACGCUCUGUCCUCAGGGACCUGGGCCCGGCUGGCCCGGC
Long non-coding RNA from Myotis brandtii (Brandt's bat), 713 nucleotides. RefSeq lists it as uncharacterized. The transcript has 3 exons. Lineage: Eukaryota; Metazoa; Chordata; Mammalia; Chiroptera; Vespertilionidae. The record is from RefSeq and is a predicted model, not a curated record.